GCGAACUACGUGGAGGCGGCCGGGUGAAUACGGGGGGGGCGAGGGGUGUCCGGAUUUGUUGGGCGUAAAGUGCGUGUAGGCGGCCUGGAAGGGCAGCUGUGAAAACUCGAGGCUCAAACUGGAGACGUCGGUUGAAACCACCUGGCUAGAGUCCGGAAGAGGAGUGUGGAAUUCCCGGUGUAGCGGUGAAAUGCGCAGAUAUCGGGAAGAACACCCGUGGCGAAGGCGGCACUCUGGGACGGUACUGACGCUGAGACGCGAAAGCGUGGGGAGCGAACAGGAUUAGAUACCCGAGUAGUC
RNAcentral lists this ribosomal RNA (300 nucleotides) under uncultured Bacillus sp. Its description in RNAcentral is "bacterial SSU rRNA". It matches the Rfam family "Bacterial small subunit ribosomal RNA", at positions 496 to 795 of the family's 1533-position model. The record is from RNAcentral. Lineage: Bacteria; Bacillati; Bacillota; Bacilli; Caryophanales; Bacillaceae.